Non-coding RNA from Solanum lycopersicum (tomato), 1240 nucleotides. The record is from RefSeq and is a predicted model, not a curated record. NCBI's taxonomy places the organism in Eukaryota, Viridiplantae, Streptophyta, Magnoliopsida, Solanales, Solanaceae.
UUGAGGUUUUCUGACAAAUUUAUACUUUUUGCAAUCUCAUUACUCUUCUGGGAACUUUUCUUAUAAAUGCUGUAUUCUGGUCACAACCAUGUUUCAAAGUGAUGCUCAUGAGCAAUAUUAAAAGUAGCUAUGAUGGAGUAGCGCUCUUAACAUGGAAUCUGUAAAUAUAUCAGUGUCACGUUGUUCUCAUUUUUAAAAUCUUAAUAAUGAUAUUUAUACUUCAUUAUUCUAUUCAUAGAGCUGUCAAAGUUCUGAAUGAGUUGUUGAAUAUUAUGAAUAAAAAAAUUGAGUCUUAAUAGGAGCUAGGAAUCCAGAAGCCUGCUUUUCUUAAGUCUACUCUUUCAUGCGUUUUUGAGACUUUAACCGGGGAACUGAAUGCUUAAGUACAAGGAACAUGCCUUCUUAGUUCUAGGAAUGAAGGAAAAGGAGUAGGACUAGGAUCAGGAGGUCUAAUCAAUGAAGGCAAGCAGGCAAAGGAAUGGAUGCUAUGAAUGCUCUUUUUCCCUAAUAUUGGUCUUCUGGUUUUUCAGGUUUUACUGGUGAAAAUAUGAUUCAAGUCCUGGGGAAGGGGCUGAGAUGAGUAAUACCUAUAUAGUGCUUUGAGACUAUGAAAUCAAGCAAUACCAUCAAGGGUUUGUUGCUAAAGAAGCAAAGCUGUCGGAUUUCUCUGUAUUCUGGGGCACUCUACUGUACAAUCGCAUAUGCCUCUAAUGUAUUAGUAACAUGAAAAUUCUUUAUUGUCUGGGCAAUUUCUGCAAAUAGAAGUAUUAUUUGAACACAAUAUUUACCUUAUUGAUCAAGUAUUCCGCAAAUUGCUCCCAGAAGGUACAGCAGGAAGCUUUUGUAAUCAAAAUCUUCUUUUGCAGUAGUGCUUUGUUAUAUUCUUAAAUUCGUUGACACCUGCCUUAAUGAUGAUAGAGGUUCAGAUUCAAUAUUGUUUGUAGUCGAUGUUGAAUCUAAAAAAAAACAUUGUUUGUAGUCUUGCUGAGCUACACCUUUCAAAUUCAGCUGACAAAUUUACUAAAGAAAAAAUUUGAAAGAUAUAACACUCUUCAAAUAUAAAUGAAAAGCGCAUGCAGGUACCUUAUUUUUGCUGUAUGCCAUUUUCAUAGAUAACGACAGCAUGUCUAUCGUGGGUUUGCUGGGCUACUGGCAAUGAGCCAAUGAGAUAUCCAAUAAAUCUUUUACCAGCAAUAGGACAUCAAGUUUUCUGCCGUUAGAAGGAAAAAAAAUAAAUGAA